Molecule: ribosomal RNA, 760 nt
Filed under: uncultured Bacteroides sp.
Lineage: Bacteria; Pseudomonadati; Bacteroidota; Bacteroidia; Bacteroidales; Bacteroidaceae
Description: bacterial SSU rRNA
Rfam family: Bacterial small subunit ribosomal RNA
Source: RNAcentral
GAUGAACGCUAGCUACAGGCUUAACACAUGCAAGUCGAGGGGCAGCAUUUUAGUUUGCUUGCAAACUAAAGAUGGCGACCGGCGCACGGGUGAGUAACACGUAUCCAACCUGCCGAUAACUCGGGGAUAGCCUUUCGAAAGAAAGAUUAAUAUCCGAUGGUAUAUUAAAACCGCAUGGUUUUACUAUUAAAGAAUUUCGGUUAUCGAUGGGGAUGCGUUCCAUUAGUUUGUUGGCGGGGUAACGGCCCACCAAGACUACGAUGGAUAGGGGUUCUGAGAGGAAGGUCCCCCACAUUGGAACUGAGACACGGUCCAAACUCCUACGGGAGGCAGCAGUGAGGAAUAUUGGUCAAUGGACGAGAGUCUGAACCAGCCAAGUAGCGUGAAGGAUGACUGCCCUAUGGGUUGUAAACUUCUUUUAUAUGGGAAUAAAGUAUUCCACGUGUGGGAUUUUGUAUGUCCCAUAUGAAUAAGGAUCGGCUAACUCCGUGCCAGCAGCCGCGGUAAUACGGAGGAUCCGAGCGUUAUCCGGAUUUAUUGGGUUUAAAGGGAGCGUAGGUGGAUUGUUAAGUCAGUUGUGAAAGUUUGCGGCUCAACCGUAAAAUUGCAGUUGAAACUGGCAGUCUUGAGUACAGUAGAGGUGGGCGGAAUUCGUGGUGUAGCGGUGAAAUGCUUAGAUAUCACGAAGAACUCCGAUUGCGAAGGCAGCUCACUAGACUGCAACUGACACUGAUGCUCGAAAGUGUGGGUAUCAAACAGG